This 379-nucleotide ribosomal RNA is filed under the name Chloropicon mariensis. Its description in RNAcentral is "partial Bacterial small subunit ribosomal RNA". It matches the Rfam family "Bacterial small subunit ribosomal RNA", at positions 1145 to 1521 of the family's 1533-position model. The record is from RNAcentral. Lineage: Eukaryota; Viridiplantae; Chlorophyta; Chloropicophyceae; Chloropicales; Chloropicaceae.
GAGACUGCCGGGGUUAACUCGGAGGAAGGUGGGGAUGACGUCAAAUCAUCAUGCCCCUUAUGUCUAGGGCUGCAAACAUGCUACAAUGGCCGGUACAAAGGGCUGCGAUACCGCGAGGUGGAGCGAAUCCCAAAAAGCCGGUCUCAGUUCGGAUUGGGGUCUGCAACUCGACCCCAUGAAGUCGGAGUCGCUAGUAAUCGCAGAUCAGCAACGCUGCGGUGAAUACGUUCCCGGGCCUUGUACACACCGCCCGUCACGUCACGAAAGUCGGUAACGCCCGAAGCCGGUGGCCCAACCCUUGUGGAGGGAGCCGUCGAAGGUGGGAUCGGCGAUUGGGACGAAGUCGUAACAAGGUAGCCGUAGCGGAAGCUGCGGCUGG